GACGCAACGCGAAGAACCUUACCUGGGCUUGAACUGCUAGGGACCGGUACAGAGAUGUGCCUUUUCGCAAGAACCGUAGCAGAGGUGCUGCAUGGCUGUCGUCAGCUCGUGUCGUGAGAUGUUGGGUUAAGUCCCGCAACGAGCGCAACCCUUACCUGUAGUUGCCAGCGAGUCAAGUCGGGAACUCUACAGGGACUGCCCGGGUUAACCGGGAGGAAGGUGGGGAUGAUGUCAAGUCCUCAUGGCCCUUAUGUCCAGGGCUACACACGUGCUACAAUGGGCGAUACAAACCGUUGCCAAGUCGCGAGAUGGAGCUAAUCGGAGAAAGUCGUCCUCAGUUCGGAUUGCAGGCUGCAACUCGCCUGCAUGAAGGUGGAAUCGCUAGUAAUCGUGUAUCAGAACGAUACGGUGAAUACGUUCCCGGGCCUUGUACACACCGCCCGUCACAUCACGAAAGCCGGGAGCACUUGAAGAGGCUGCGGCAACCCGCAAGGGGGCUAGGUCUCUAUGGUGAACUUGGUGAUUGGGGUGAAGUCGUAACAAGGUAACCGUA
RNAcentral lists this ribosomal RNA (553 nucleotides) under uncultured bacterium. Its description in RNAcentral is "bacterial SSU rRNA". It matches the Rfam family "Bacterial small subunit ribosomal RNA", at positions 953 to 1504 of the family's 1533-position model. The record is from RNAcentral.